This is a non-coding RNA of Trachymyrmex cornetzi, 45 nucleotides long. The record is from Rfam. NCBI's taxonomy places the organism in Eukaryota, Metazoa, Arthropoda, Insecta, Hymenoptera, Formicidae.
UAAACGGCCCUUUUUAGGGCCACACAAAGUAUCUCAAUAGACCCU